GACGAACGCUGGCGGCGUGCUUAACACAUGCAAGUCGAACGGAAAGGCCCCCUUGUGGGGUACUCGAGUGGCGAACGGGUGAGUAACACGUGAGUAACCUACCCUUGACUUUGGGAUAACUUCAGGAAACUGGGGCUAAUACCGGAUAGGAGCUCCUGCUGCAUGGUGGGGGUUGGAAAGUUUCGGCGGUUGGGGAUGGACUCGCGGCUUAUCAGCUUGUUGGUGGGGUAGUGGCUCACCAAGGGUUUGACGGGUAGCCGGCCUGAGAGGGUGACCGGCCACAUUGGGACUGAGAUACGGCCCAGACUCCUACGGGAGGCAGCAGUGGGGAAUAUUGCACAAUGGGCGGAAGCCUGAUGCAGCAACGCCGCGUGCGGGAUGACGGCCUUCGGGUUGUAAACCGCUUUCGCCUGUGACGAAGCGUGAGUGACGGUAAUGGGUAAAGAAGCACCGGCUAACUACGUG
This 465-nucleotide ribosomal RNA is filed under the name uncultured bacterium. Its description in RNAcentral is "partial 16S ribosomal RNA". It matches the Rfam family "Bacterial small subunit ribosomal RNA", at positions 28 to 507 of the family's 1533-position model. The record is from RNAcentral.